AAACCCAGGCUAAUACCGCAUACGUCCUACGGGAGAAAGGGGGCUCCGGCUCCCGCUAUCGGAUGAGCCUAUGUCGGAUUAGCUGGUUGGUGAGGUAAAGGCUCACCAAGGCGACGAUCCGUAGCUGGUCUGAGAGGAUGAUCAGCCACAUCGGGACUGAGACACGGCCCGAACUCCUACGGGAGGCAGCAGUGGGGAAUAUUGGACAAUGGGGGGAACCCUGAUCCAGCCAUGCCGCGUGUGUGAAGAAGGCCCUCGGGUUGUAAAGCACUUUCAGUGAGGAAGAACGCCUGGUGGUUAAUACCCAUCAGGAAAGACAUCACUCACAGAAGAAGCACCGGCUAACUCCGUGCCAGCAGCCGCGGUAAUACGGAGGGUGCAAGCGUUAAUCGGAAUUACUGGGCGUAAAGCGCGCGUAGGUGGCUUGAUAAGCCGGUUGUGAAAGCCCCGGGCUCAACCUGGGAACGGCAUCCGGAACUGUCAAGCUAGAGUGCAGGAGAGGAAGGUAGAAUUCCCGGUGUAGCGGUGAAAUGCGUAGAGAUCGGGAGGAAUNACCAGNUNGNNGNCGAAGGCGGCCUUCUGGACUGACACUGACACUGAGGUGCGAAAGCGUGGGUAGCAAACAGGAUUAGAUACCCUGGUAGUCCACGCCGUAAACGAUGUCGACCAGCCGUUGGGUGCCUAGCGCACUUUGUGGCGAAGUUAACGCGAUAAGUCGACCGCCUGGGGAGUACGGCCGCAANNGGUUAAAACUCAAAUGAAUUGACGGGGGCCCGCACAAGCGGUGGAGCAUGUGGUUUAAUUCGAUGCAACGCGAAGAACCUUACCUACUCUUGACAUCCUGCGAAUUUGGUAGAGAUACCUUAGUGCCUUCGGGAACGCAGAGACAGGUGCUGCAUGGCUGUCGUCAGCUCGUGUUGUGAAAUGUU
RNAcentral lists this ribosomal RNA (929 nucleotides) under uncultured Halomonas sp. RNAcentral describes it as "bacterial SSU rRNA". It matches the Rfam family "Bacterial small subunit ribosomal RNA", at positions 154 to 1076 of the family's 1533-position model. The record is from RNAcentral. Lineage: Bacteria; Pseudomonadati; Pseudomonadota; Gammaproteobacteria; Oceanospirillales; Halomonadaceae.